CCUAGGGGGGCAGCAGUGAGGAAUAUUUGUCAAUGGGCGGGAGCCUGAACCAGCCAAGUCGCGUGAGGGAUGACGGCCCUAUGGGUUGUAAACCUCUUUUUCUGGGGAGCAAAGUGCUGCACGUGUUCGGGUUGGAGAGUUCCCGGAGAAAAAGCAUCGGGCAACUCCGUGCCAGCCGCCGCGGUAAUACGGAGUAUUCAAGCGUUUUCCGGAUUUAUUGGGUUUAAAGGGUGCGUAGGCGGUUCGAUAAGUUAGAGGUGAAAGCCCGGGGCUCAACCCCAGCACUGCCUUUGAUACUGUCGGGCUAGAGUUUAGUUGCGGUAGGCGGAAUGUAUGGUGUAGCGGUGAAAUGCAUAGAGAUCAUACAGAACACCGAUUGCGAAGGCAGCUUACCAAACUACGACUGACGUUGAGGCACGAAAGCGUGGGGAGCAAACAGGAUUAGAUACCCGGGUAGUC
This 459-nucleotide ribosomal RNA is filed under the name uncultured bacterium. Its description in RNAcentral is "partial 16S ribosomal RNA". It matches the Rfam family "Bacterial small subunit ribosomal RNA", at positions 338 to 795 of the family's 1533-position model. The record is from RNAcentral.